GUCCACGCCCUAAACGAUGUCGACUGGUUGUUUGGGGUUUGACACUCUCAGUAACGAAGCUAACGCGUGAAGUCGACCGCCUGGGGAGUACGGCCGCAAGGUUAAAACUCAAAGGAAUUGACGGGGACCCGCACAAGCGGUGGAUUAUGUGGAUUAAUUCGAUGCAACGCGAAAACCUUACCUACCCUUGACAUGUCCUGGAGCCUGGAGAGAUCCGGGUGUGCCCGAAAGGGAACGGGAACACAGGUGCUGCAUGGCUGUCGU
This 264-nucleotide ribosomal RNA is filed under the name uncultured bacterium. Its description in RNAcentral is "partial 16S ribosomal RNA". It matches the Rfam family "Bacterial small subunit ribosomal RNA", at positions 793 to 1055 of the family's 1533-position model. The record is from RNAcentral.